This 164-nucleotide ribosomal RNA is filed under the name uncultured bacterium. RNAcentral describes it as "partial 16S ribosomal RNA". It matches the Rfam family "Bacterial small subunit ribosomal RNA", at positions 355 to 511 of the family's 1533-position model. The record is from RNAcentral.
UAGGGAAUCUUCCACAAUGGGCGAAAGCCUGAUGGAGCAACGCCGCGUGUGUGAUGAAGGGUUUCGGCUCGUAAAACACUGUUGUAAGAGAAGAAUGACAUUGAGAGUAACUGUUCAGGUAUUGACGGUAUUUAACCAGAAAGCCACGGCUAACUACGUGCUAG